GCAUAUCAAUAAGCGGAGGAAAAGAAACCAACAGGGAUUGCCUCAGUAACGGCGAGUGAAGCGGCAAAAGCUCAAAUUUGAAAUCCCCCGGGAAUUGUAAUUUGAAGGUUGGGGAAAAAGUAACGUGUUCUUCUAAGUCUAUUGGAAAAUGGCGCCACAGAGGGUGAUAGCCCCGUCUGAUUCAACACAAUACAUAUCUUCCCCCUCCAAAGAGUCGAGUUGUUUGGGAAUGCAGCUCUAAGUGGGUGGUAAAUUCCAUCUAAAGCUAAAUAUUGGCGAGAGACCGAUAGCGAACAAGUACAGUGAUGGAAAGAUGAAAAGCACUUUGAAAAGAGAGUGAAAAAGUACGUGAAAUUGUUGAAAGGGAAGGGCUUGCAAGCAGACACAACUUUUUGUUGGGCCAGCAUCGGGGGAGUAGGAGGCAAAAAGGAGUAGAAAUGUAGCUUCGGUGUUAUAGUCUGCUCUCAUACCUCCCCACCCUCCCGAGGCCUGCGUAUCUAGGAUGCUGGCGUAAUGGUUGCAAGUCGCCCGUCUUGAAACACGGACC
RNAcentral lists this ribosomal RNA (547 nucleotides) under Metschnikowia gruessii. Its description in RNAcentral is "eukaryotic LSU rRNA". It matches the Rfam family "Eukaryotic large subunit ribosomal RNA", at positions 38 to 667 of the family's 3401-position model. The record is from RNAcentral. Lineage: Eukaryota; Fungi; Ascomycota; Pichiomycetes; Serinales; Metschnikowiaceae.